GGAUCACUUGGAGAAUUUCAGAUCUCUCAUACUCUUACAAGGGGCAAAUGAUGUGACCCUCUGCUGAGCUUUUUCUUUGACCUUGAGGAAGGUUGCCAGCCACUGGUAUUUAAGUUUGCUACCAAACAUUGCGGACUCCUUCCAUCGGCUAAGCUGAAUGUUCAUCGCAUACUUCAUCAGUAGUCAUCAACAACAUCGUAACUCAGACUUUUUUAUCAGCAUAAAGUAGC
Molecule: long non-coding RNA, 230 nt
Filed under: Elaeis guineensis (African oil palm)
Lineage: Eukaryota; Viridiplantae; Streptophyta; Magnoliopsida; Arecales; Arecaceae
Description: long non-coding RNA (EGUI_LNC040895)
Source: RNAcentral